CCUACGGGAGGCAGCAGUGAGGAAUAUUGGUCAAUGGACGAGAGUCUGAACCAGCCAAGUAGCGUGAAGGAUGACUGCCCUAUGGGUUGUAAACUUCUUUUAUAUGGGAAUAAAAUGUUCCACGUGUGGGAUUUUGUAUGUACCAUAUGAAUAAGGAUCGGCUAACUCCGUGCCAGCAGCCGCGGUAAUACGGAGGAUCCGAGCGUUAUCCGGAUUUAUUGGGUUUAAAGGGAGCGUAGGCGGAUUGUUAAGUCAGUUGUGAAAGUCUGCGGCUCAACCGUAAAAUUGCAGUUGAAACUGGCAGUCUUGAGUACAGUAGAGGUGGGCGGAAUUCGUGGUGUAGCGGUGAAAUGCUUAGAUAUCACGAAGAACUCCGAUUGCGAAGGCAGUUCACUGGACUGCAACUGACACUGAGGCUCGAAAGUGUGGGUAUCAAACAGGAUUAGAUACCCUUGUAGUC
This 460-nucleotide ribosomal RNA is filed under the name uncultured bacterium. Its description in RNAcentral is "partial 16S ribosomal RNA". It matches the Rfam family "Bacterial small subunit ribosomal RNA", at positions 338 to 795 of the family's 1533-position model. The record is from RNAcentral.